RNAcentral lists this ribosomal RNA (508 nucleotides) under uncultured bacterium. Its description in RNAcentral is "partial 16S ribosomal RNA". It matches the Rfam family "Bacterial small subunit ribosomal RNA", at positions 28 to 507 of the family's 1533-position model. The record is from RNAcentral.
GACGAACGCUGGCGGCGUGCCUAAUACAUGCAAGUCGAACGCUUCUUUCCUCCCGAGUGCUUGCACUCAAUUGGAAAGAGGAGUGGCGGACGGGUGAGUAACACGUGGGUAACCUACCCAUCAGAGGGGGAUAACACUUGGAAACAGGUGCUAAUACCGCAUAACAGUUUAUGCCGCAUGGCAUAAGAGUGAAAGGCGCUUUCGGGUGUCGCUGAUGGAUGGACCCGCGGUGCAUUAGCUAGUUGGUGAGGUAACGGCUCACCAAGGCCACGAUGCAUAGCCGACCUGAGUGGGUGAUCGGCCACCCGGGGACUGAGACACGGCCCAGACUCCUACGGGAGGCAGCAGUAGGGAAUCUUCGGCAAUGGACGAAAGUCUGACCGAGCAACGCCGCGUGAGUGAAGAAGGUUUUCGGAUCGUAAAACUCUGUUGUUAGAGAAGAACAAGGACGUUAGUAACUGAACGUCCCCUGACGGUAUCUAACCAGAAAGACACGGCUAACUACGUG